Molecule: ribosomal RNA, 253 nt
Filed under: uncultured bacterium
Lineage: Bacteria
Description: partial 16S ribosomal RNA
Rfam family: Bacterial small subunit ribosomal RNA
Source: RNAcentral
UACGGUGUGUGCAAGCGUUACUCGGAAUCACUGGGCAUAAAGAGCACGUAGGUGGGCUCGCCAGUCGGAUGUGAAAUCCCCCAGCUCAACUGGGGAACUGCAUCCGAUACUGCGGGUCUUGAGGACGAAAGGGGAGAGUGGAACUUCUGGUGGAGCGGUGAAAUGCGUAGAUAUCAGAAGGAACACCGGUGGCGAAGGCGACUCUCUGGUUCGUUUCUGACACUGAGGUGCGAAAGCGUGGGUAGCAAACGGG